UUGUGAGUGCGCGCAGACAGAGCCCCCUCCCCCGGCCGGAGAUGCAGUAAUAACGUUGUCGUGCGGAGUAUCUUCGUUGUACAGUUUCUGUCUCAAGUGUUUUUCACUAGUUCAGUCUUGAGUUACAAUACGCGGGUCGACGAGGGUUUGCACUGGACUCGGGUUUGAAUCACGGAAGAUGAUGAAAGUGGUUUUGUUGUUGUUGCCGAGUGUCUUUGUUUGUAUGGGCCUCUCACGUAAACAUUAUUAUGAGGAGUAUGGGAACUCACUGUACGUACGGCUUCCUAGAAAACCCAACUCCAUCGAGUUCAACCCCAAGUACAGCUCAGAUGUGACGGUCGUGUGGAAACAGGGGUGACCCUGUUAUCUCAGUGGACGGAAAGCGUACAAUGACGGGUAUCUACUAUGCAAUGGUUAAUUUAACUCAGAGAGACGUUGGUCGCUACGUAUUAAGAGACAAAGAGCAGAAAGAAGAGUCCGCCUUCAUAGUUGAGGUAAAAGCAAAAACAAACGCCUUUCACAGGAUGCCUCGUGAACACCUCAGGUUCACUUCUGAUCUGCAACCAAACUCCUGCAACAUUAAAUUCUUCCCAGAAAGCGGCCGUGAACCGAGAGAGAGGACGAUUAACAUCGUUCGUCAAGGCAGGCUGCAGGAGGGUUUGGAUAAAUUUGCUUGCGUAGGAUUUGAUCUGAUCAAACCAUGUGGGAUUUCAAAUGAUGACCUCCAGAUGUCAUGCAAAGGACGCUAUGAGAUAAAAGAUCAGAAUGGCGACACAGCCUUAGAGGUGUCACUGGAAAUGGAGCCAAAAACAAAGAUCUUUGACAGGAAGCCUGGUGAACAGCUCAGCUUCACUUUUGAUCUGGAACCAAGCUCCUGCAACAUUUACUUCUUCCCAGAAGGCGACAGUGGCCCAGGAAAGAGCAUAGUGGGUCAAGGCCGGCUGCAGCUUCAUUCGGAUGAAUUUGAUUGCGUAGGAUUCGAUCUGAUCAAACCAUGUGGGAUUUCAAAUGAUGACCUCCAGAUGUCAUGCCAGGGACGCUAUCAGAUCAAAGAUCAGAAUGGCGACACAGCCGUAGAGGUGACACUGGAAAUGGAGCCACUAUCCUAUGCGACAUCUCCGAUUGGUAUUAGUGCUGGGGUUUUCCUUUCCUCACUGUUCUGCUGUUGCGUGAGGCGCUGCUGUAGGAAGAGCGCCUCCAAAGAGGACAAAUCUGAGAGUGAAGCUCCUGAGCCUGAUGUGCAAUACCAAGUGUAUGAUCUGGAGCCUGUUAGACUGAGGCCAGACCAUCUCAGUGAGCCCUCUGGGACACACUACCCUGCUCAGCCUCCUUAUACUCCGACUGACCCGCUGAUACACAAUCAUCCUACUGUGGAUGUGCCGCCAGCGUAUUCUGAGGUUUCAGCUCCACCCGUCCCCGUCCACUCUGACUCUGAGCCACGGUAUGAACUGAAGGGGAUGACCUUUCCCUCCGCUCCACCACUCAGUUCAGAGUCAACUACCUGUGAUGUCUAUACCUCAGCCAAAUUCAAUUUCCUCUAAUUUUGAAAAUGUGCGAGCUUUCGUUAAUGUGGCAUUAAAGGUUCAGUGUGUGAUUCUGAGCCACCUGAUCCAACGAAAUAAGGGAGCAGUGUUUCACCUAUAAAUGUGGUCUAUACAAUCUCUAAUGUUUAUAUUUUAGUUGUAGUAGUUUGGCCUAUUUAUUGUAUACUAAUACAUUCUUUAUAUUUUACAAUGCAUUUACUCCUGUGUAAUGCCUGUCAGUCAGUCAGCAGGGCAAGAAUACCAACAUUCGACCAAACUGCUGAAACUCAGAGAGCCAGUCAGAAAACACAGCUGUCUUAUAAUCUUCACAUGGAGCUGAUCCAUCUGUGUCUACAGGGGCACUAGUGUUAACCGAGGGCUGUAGUCUGUAAUGUUACAUUAGUUUGUUUAUUGGACUAAAUCCAAAGCGUCAGAAACUAGAAAACGACCUGCAUAUUAUUCGUCUCGUCUUCCUGGUGAAAAACGUGCCUGCAUUAUUUACAAUAAUUUCCUACCUCACUUCAUGAGCAACACUCCAAGACCUUAUUCUUUUUCUCAUUAGUAUUGAGUGAAUAGCUCUUUUAGUGCCUGCAGUUCUGUCAUGGAUACAUCCUUUAUUGCAGACCGGCUUGACUGUGAAUAUUUUCAGGGAAGACACAAACAUAAAGUAGCCUUAUAGCUGCCAAGCUCUCCAUAUCUAAAAGUGUUAAAGUGCUCAUUUUACUUGAGUUAUUCUCACAUAUGCUUGGCCUUCUGCAUGGAAUUCAGCUUGCAUCUUAAAUUAUUUGAUACUUGUAUGAGUUGAGAAUUAACUUCAAAUGAGCGAUAGAGGUUAACUCACAUGGAUAUAUAUACUAGCUACUGUAUUUCAUUUGCUCAGGCGUGACACACACAUUUAUAUAUUUCCAUGUGUUGAAAAUAUAUUAUGAUUGUUUGAUAACUAUGAGUAUCUCAAGCACCAGUUGCCUUUUUCUUAAUGGCAUAAAAACACCUCUGCACUGCAAUUAUGUCAACAUUGUACCGUGAGUGCAUUACUUCAAAAAUGUAUAUAAAUCAAUACAUUUGGGACCUUUACACAAACAAUAAACUUGACAACAUCUUCAAUGUGCGUCUUUCUGCAUGUCUACAUUUUAUCUCUGGAUAUGUAACUAUUAUUUAUGAGAUAGUUGUAAAUAUUUUAACUGCAUGUCAUAGUUUAUAAUGUUUAAAUAUGUAUAUAGUAUGUGUAAAUAUGGUUUUGUUUAUGCUUUAACUGGAGCCGAGUUAUGAUAGAAGCAUGUUUGUCUAAACAAGUAAAUAUCUUGUGUUUGUAUCGUUGUGUAUUUGUACUUUGUGUCAGGUUCAUAAAAUCUUAUAACACCCAACUAUAUGGUUUGUAGUUUUUCCACUGUCUUCAUGACGUCAUAUACAACUUGAUUUAUGGUAGGU
Molecule: long non-coding RNA, 2951 nt
Filed under: Cottoperca gobio
Lineage: Eukaryota; Metazoa; Chordata; Actinopteri; Perciformes; Bovichtidae
Description: lncRNA (ENSCGOG00000003750.1)
Source: RNAcentral